GUAUCGAAGAAAGUGCGCACGACAGGCACCUGCUCUCCCCGUCGUCUCUGCUGCAGCAGCUUGUGUGCGAGCAGGAAGGAAGACAUCAUGAAGAAAAUCUGCACCACGAGCGUGCUGUUCGCCAUCAGCAUUGCAUCCAGGGCUCGACGGGUCUGUUAUGGAAUGUCCAUAAGUGCUUAGCUCUUCUCGAUGACAACGUUCAUAUUGAAAAGGCUCAUCUCUCAUCAGCGGCGCUGUAACCUGACGCCGCCGGUGACGUCAGCGCGGCCUGACGGCAGCUGAACUGCUUGCCCCGUUGAAUUUAUUGUGAAGUUUGCGAAAAUAAACGGUUUUGUCAUGGAA
Long non-coding RNA from Bombyx mori (domestic silkworm), 342 nucleotides. RefSeq lists it as uncharacterized. NCBI's taxonomy places the organism in Eukaryota, Metazoa, Arthropoda, Insecta, Lepidoptera, Bombycidae. The record is from RefSeq and is a predicted model, not a curated record. The transcript has 2 exons.